AGGGUGUAAACGCUGCAGACUUGGUGUUGGAAAUCCUUCGAGGGUAUUCAGUGCCGGAGAGAAGUUGUUAAGUCUGCUACUUGGGGAGUACGUCCGCAAGGAUGAAACUUAAAGGAAUUGGCGGGGGAGGCACCGCAACGGGAGGAGCGUGCGGUUUAAUUGGAUUCAACACCGGAAACUACACCAGGGGAGGACUGUUACAUGAAACCCAGACUAAUGAUCUUGGUUGAUUUCUAGAGAGGUGGUGCAUGGCGUCAGUGACU
Molecule: ribosomal RNA, 263 nt
Filed under: uncultured archaeon
Lineage: Archaea
Description: partial 16S ribosomal RNA
Rfam family: Archaeal small subunit ribosomal RNA
Source: RNAcentral